RNAcentral lists this ribosomal RNA (447 nucleotides) under uncultured bacterium. RNAcentral describes it as "bacterial SSU rRNA". It matches the Rfam family "Bacterial small subunit ribosomal RNA", at positions 330 to 793 of the family's 1533-position model. The record is from RNAcentral.
UCCAGACUCCUACGGGAGGCAGCAGUGGGGAAUAUUGCACAAUGGGGGAAACCCUGAUGCAGCGACGCCGCGUGAGCGAAGAAGUACCUCGGUAUGUAAAGCUCUAUCAGCAGGGAAGAAAGUGACAGUACCUGACUAAGAAGCCCCGGCUAACUACGUGCCAGCAGCCGUGGUAAUACGUAGGGGGCAAGCGUUAUCCGGAUUUACUGGGUGUAAAGGGUGCGUAGGUGGCAUGGCAAGUCAGAAGUGAAAGCCCGGGGCUCAACCCCGCGGACUGCUUUUGAAACUGUCAGGCUGGAGUACAGGAGAGGUAAGCGGAAUUCCUAGUGUAGCGGUGAAAUGCGUAGAUAUUAGGAGGAACACCAGUGGCGAAGGCGGCUUACUGGACUGUAACUGACACUGAGGCACGAAAGCGUGGGGAGCAAACAGGAUUAGAUACCCGGGUAG